RNAcentral lists this ribosomal RNA (239 nucleotides) under Tuber sp. 17 KA-2010. RNAcentral describes it as "partial large subunit ribosomal RNA". Lineage: Eukaryota; Fungi; Ascomycota; Pezizomycetes; Pezizales; Tuberaceae. The record is from RNAcentral.
GCGCUUGAGACCAGAUUCAGCCAUUGGCAAACAACUGUCCCUUCUGGGUGGUGCACUUGUCUUUGGUUGGGCCAGCAUCGGUUGGGACGGCAGGAUAAAGACCCAGGGAAUGUGACUCCUCUAUGGAGUGUUAUAGCCCCAGGUGGCAUGCUGUCAGCCCCGACCGUGGACCGCGCCUCGGCUCGGAUGCUGGCUUAAUGGUCUUCAGCGACCCGUCUUGAAACACGGACCAAGGAGUC